AGAGUUUGAUCCUGGCUCAGAACGAACGCUGGCGGCAGGCCUAACACAUGCAAGUCGAGCGCCCCGCAAGGGGAGCGGCGGACGGGUGAGUAACACGUGGGAAUUUUCCUCAAGGUACGGAACAACUCAGGGAAACUUGGGCUAAUACCGUAUGAUGCAGAGAUGCCAAAGAUUUAUCGCCUUGGGAUAAGCCCGCGUCAGAUUAGGUAGUUGGUGGGGUAAUGGCCUACCAAGCCUGUGAUCUGUAGCUGGUCUGAGAGGACGAUCAGCCACAUUGGGACUGAGACACGGCCCAAACUCCUACGGGAGGCAGCAGUGGGGAAUCUUGCGCAAUGGGCGAAAGCCUGACGCAGCCAUGCCGCGUGAAUGAUGAAGGUCUUAGGAUUGUAAAGUUCUUUCGCCCGUGACGAUGAUGACGGUAACGGGAGAAGAAGCCCCGGCUAACUUCGUGCCAGCAGCCGCGGUAAUACGAAGGGGGCUAGCGUUGUUCGGAAUUACUGGGCGUAAAGCGCGCGUAGGCGGUUUUGCAAGCCAGAGGUGAAAUGCCCGAGCUCAACUUGGGAAUUGCCUUUGGGACUGUGAGGCUUUGAGGACGAGAGAGGUGAGUGGAAUUCCCAGUGUAGAGGUGAAAUUCGUAGAUAUUGGGAAGAACACCGGUGGCGAAGGCGGCUCACUGGCUCGUUUCUGACGCUAAAGCGCGAAAGCGUGGGGAUCAAACAGGAUUAGAUACCCUGGUAGUCCACGCUGUAAACGAUGAGUGCUAGGCGUCGGCAGGCUUGCCUGUCGGUGCCGCAGCUAAC
This 800-nucleotide ribosomal RNA is filed under the name uncultured bacterium. RNAcentral describes it as "bacterial SSU rRNA". It matches the Rfam family "Bacterial small subunit ribosomal RNA", at positions 8 to 856 of the family's 1533-position model. The record is from RNAcentral.